UUUUAUUUUUAAGUUUGCGUUGCAAACUUGUAUUAUUAAAUACUGUUCCUCAUUGCAUUGCGGAACAGUGUAAAAAAGUCAAUCGAUUGUUGAAACAAUCUUCUUGACUUUUUAUGGGA
This is a non-coding RNA of Treponema porcinum, 119 nucleotides long. Lineage: Bacteria; Pseudomonadati; Spirochaetota; Spirochaetia; Treponematales; Treponemataceae. The record is from Rfam.